GUCCACGCCCUAAACGAUGCACGCUUGAUUACGACGGCUCUGACGCCGCCGGGAUCGUAGAGAAAUUGAUAAGCGUGCCGCCUGGGGAGUACGGUCGCAAGACUAAAACUCAAAGAAAUUGACGGGGGCCCGCACAAGCGGUGGAGCAUGUGGUUUAAUUCGACGCAACGCGCAGAACCUUACCAGGGUUUGACAUCCUGUGCUCACUCCUGAAAGGGAGCUUCCCCGCAAGGGGCGCAGAGACAGGUGCUGCAUGGCUGUCGU
RNAcentral lists this ribosomal RNA (264 nucleotides) under uncultured bacterium. RNAcentral's name for it is "partial 16S ribosomal RNA". It matches the Rfam family "Bacterial small subunit ribosomal RNA", at positions 793 to 1055 of the family's 1533-position model. The record is from RNAcentral.